AAGGCUGUAGCGCAGAGGUCGUCGCGCCUUGCAGCGGGCUGGAGGACGUCGGUUCGAAUCCGACCAGCCUUG
Molecule: transfer RNA, 72 nt
Filed under: Actinomadura viridis
Lineage: Bacteria; Bacillati; Actinomycetota; Actinomycetes; Streptosporangiales; Thermomonosporaceae
Also listed under: 1 other name
Rfam family: tRNA
About the family: Transfer RNA (tRNA) molecules are approximately 80 nucleotides in length. Their secondary structure includes four short double-helical elements and three loops (D, anti-codon, and T loops). Further hydrogen bonds mediate the characteristic L-shaped molecular structure. tRNAs have two regions of fundamental functional importance: the anti-codon, which is responsible for specific mRNA codon recognition, and the 3' end, to which the tRNAs corresponding amino acid is attached (by aminoacyl-tRNA synthetases). tRNAs cope with the degeneracy of the genetic code in two manners: having more than one tRNA (with a specific anti-codon) for a particular amino acid; and 'wobble' base-pairing, i.e. permitting non-standard base-pairing at the 3rd anti-codon position.
Source: Rfam by way of RNAcentral